Long non-coding RNA from Bombus pascuorum, 895 nucleotides. RefSeq lists it as uncharacterized. NCBI's taxonomy places the organism in Eukaryota, Metazoa, Arthropoda, Insecta, Hymenoptera, Apidae. The transcript has 2 exons. The record is from RefSeq and is a predicted model, not a curated record.
GGUCACAAAAAGACACAGAUCUUUUCUUUGCAACUUCCUGCAUAUAAAACUGCGUCCUUUUACAGGCAACCAUGUAUAUUCCAAGCGUGAUGAAGGGAUUAGAUCAUCGUAUCGUAAAUUAUGCUUACUUCCAACCCCAAAGGCAGACUUUCUAUGUGCUUGUCCCUUUGCUUCGAGGGUCAGCGAACUCUUCACUCUAUAUGACAGAGACAGCCUAGAAUCCAGGGGGAAAUUUGAAAGUCAAUCAAGGAAGGAACUGUAAGAUGGACAGAGCAAGGUCUCGUAGAAAUGCAUGAGAUUCGUUUCUCGCAAAUUACGAGAUACGGAAACGUUUAAAGUCAUCUACAGACGGAAAUCUGUUCAAGACAGUCGCGAACUUUAUAAUAUAAUGGAAUCGUUUUACAUAUUUACGGAGAAACAACACAACACAGUUUUCGUCUAUGAAUACGAAAUAAAAAAUUUCAAUAAAAAUUAUAUUAAUCCUUUCGGUACGAGUUGUUUUUUAACAUCGAUCGUAUAAAGCAGUAAAGCAUGUGCGUGGCCUGAAUACAUUUCCGGUCUCUUUAUAACGAUUGUGAACAAAUAAUGUAAAAAUAACCUUCAAAACUAUAACGUAUAUUUCCAGAUAAAGAAAAUAAUCAUAGACUUCGCUGGAUGCAUAAGCAUUCAUAAAUCACAUCAAUGGAAUUUUUUCUGAUAAAUAUGUAUUUCUCCUGUAGAAAAGUAUGAGAUGACUUGUUUGUUUGUAAGAAAUGUUCAAGAGCAGUUAUGAAAUCAUUUACGGAUUUCACUACGUUUUACAUAUUCGAAACUUUCCAUGUUUGCAUUCCCUUUCUGUCUCUCCUUUCUCAUGAAUACUUGAAUACACGAUUUUUUCAAAUGUAAUAAAAGAAAA